AGAGUUUGAUCAUGGCUCAGGAUGAACGCUGGCGGCGUGCUUAACACAUGCAAGUCGAACGAACCUUCGGGUUAGUGGCGGACGGGUGAGUAACGCGUGAGAAUCUGCCCUCAGGAGGGGGAUAACGGUUGGAAACGACCGCUAAUACCCCAUAUGCCUACUGGUGAAAUGAAUUUCGCCUGAGGAUGAGCUCGCGUCUGAUUAGCUAGUUGGUGAGGUAAUGGCUCACCAAGGCUUCGAUCAGUAGCUGGUCUGAGAGGAUGAUCAGCCACACUGGGACUGAGACACGGCCCAGACUCCUACGGGAGGCAGCAGUGGGGAAUUUUCCGCAAUGGGCGAAAGCCUGACGGAGCAACGCCGCGUGAGGGACGAAGGCCUCUGGGCUGUAAACCUCUUUUCUCAAGGAAGAAGAUAUGACGGUACUUGAGGAAUAAGCCACGGCUAAUUCCGUGCCAGCAGCCGCGGUAAUACGGGAGUGGCAAGCGUUAUCCGGAAUUAUUGGGCGUAAAGCGUCCGCAGGCGGCUUUUCAAGUCUGCUGUUAAAGCGUGGAGCUUAACUCCAUCAUGGCAGUGGAAACUGAAAGGCUUGAGUAUGGUAGGGGCAGAGGGAAUUCCCGGUGUAGCGGUGAAAUGCGUAGAUAUCGGGAAGAACACCAGUGGCGAAGGCGCUCUGCUGGGCCAUUACUGACGCUCAUGGACGAAAGCCAGGGGAGCGAAAGGGAUUAGAUACCCCUGUAGUCCUGGCCGUAAACGAUGAACACUAGGUGUCGGGGGAAUCGACCCCUUCGGUGUCGUAGCUAACGCGUUAAGUGUUCCGCCUGGGGAGUACGCACGCAAGUGUGAAACUCAGAGGAAUUGACGGGGGCCCGCACAAGCGGUGGAGUAUG
RNAcentral lists this ribosomal RNA (887 nucleotides) under uncultured bacterium. Its description in RNAcentral is "bacterial SSU rRNA". It matches the Rfam family "Bacterial small subunit ribosomal RNA", at positions 8 to 941 of the family's 1533-position model. The record is from RNAcentral.